Molecule: ribosomal RNA, 467 nt
Filed under: uncultured bacterium
Lineage: Bacteria
Description: bacterial SSU rRNA
Rfam family: Bacterial small subunit ribosomal RNA
Source: RNAcentral
GACGAACGCUGGCGGCGCGCCUAACACAUGCAAGUCGAACGGAGCUUUCUCUUUCGGGGGAAAGCUCAGUGGCGAACGGGUGAGUAACACGUGAGGAACCUGCCUUCAAGAGGGGGACAACAGCUGGAAACGGCUGCUAAUACCGCAUAAGACCACAGAGCGACAUCGCUCAGUGGCCAAAGGAGAAAUCCGCUUGAAGAUGGCCUCGCGGCUGAUUAGAUAGUUGGCGGGGUAACGGCCCACCAAGUCGACGAUCAGUAGCCGGACUGAGAGGUUGAACGGCCACAUUGGGACUGAGACACGGCCCAGACUCCUACGGGAGGCAGCAGUGGGGGAUAUUGCACAAUGGAGGAAACUCUGAUGCAGCGACGCCGCGUGAGGGAAGAAGGUAUUCGUAUUGUAAACCUCUGUCUUUGGGGACGAAAGAAAUGACGGUACCCGAAGAGGAAGCACCGGCUAACUACGUG